ACAUUGACCUUCAUUGAAGAAGAUCUGCAGGACUUACUGAGAUUACACAAGAGGAAGUGAUGAGGCAUUUUUCUGAAUGUUGAAACUAGUCUCUUUGUCCAUGAAUACCGGCACUGACUGAAAGAAUGCUUUGAAGAAAUUCCUCAAAGGUAAAAGAAACAAAAACAUGAUGGAAGCCAAGAAGACAAAUAUGAACAAAGGCAGCAAAUGUAUAAACAGCUACAGUGUUUCUGGACACAUUUGAAACAAGUGGCUGAAGUCAUGGCAUGGAUUAGGAGUGUUAGUUCCAAGCACAAUGAUAAGA
This 304-nucleotide long non-coding RNA is filed under the name Mus spicilegus (steppe mouse). RNAcentral describes it as "lncRNA (ENSMSIG00000013521.1)". The record is from RNAcentral. Lineage: Eukaryota; Metazoa; Chordata; Mammalia; Rodentia; Muridae.